GGACGAACGCUGGCGGCGUGCUUCAUACAUGCAAGUCGAACGAUAAGGUCUCUUCGGAGAUACAUAAGUGGCGGACGGGUGAGUAAAAUGUAGAGAAUCUGCCCUAGAGAUGGGGACAACAGUUGGAAACGACUGCUAAUACCCAAUAUGAGCGUAGUUGAAAUACUAUUCUUGAAAACUCCGGUGCUCUGGGAUGAGUCUGCAUCUGAUUAGCUAGUUGGAGGUGUAAUGGACCACCAAGGCGACGAUCAGUAGCUGGUUUGAGAGGAUGAUCAGCCACAAUGGGACUGAGACACGGCCCAUACUCCUACGGGAGGCAGCAGUAGGGAAUUUUGCGCAAUGGGGGAAACCCUGACGCAAGCAACGCCGCGUGAAUGAAGAAGCCCUUCGGGGUGUAAAGUUCUGUCAGUAGGGAAGAAUAAAUGACUGUACCUACAGAGGAAGCAUCGGCUAACUCCGUGCCAGCCGCGGC
Molecule: ribosomal RNA, 472 nt
Filed under: uncultured bacterium
Lineage: Bacteria
Description: bacterial SSU rRNA
Rfam family: Bacterial small subunit ribosomal RNA
Source: RNAcentral